CCUACGGGAGGCAGCAGUGGGGAAUUUUGGACAAUGGGGGCAACCCUGAUCCAGCAAUGCCGCGUGUGUGAAGAAGGCCUUCGGGUUGUAAAGCACUUUUGUCCGGAAAGAAAUCGCGCUGGUUAAUACCUGGCGUGGAUGACGGUACCGGAAGAAUAAGCACCGGCUAACUACGUGCCAGCAGCCGCGGUAAUACGUAGGGUGCGAGCGUUAAUCGGAAUUACUGGGCGUAAAGCGUGCGCAGGCGGUUUUGUAAGACAGGCGUGAAAUCCCCGGGCUUAACCUGGGAAUUGCGCUUGUGACUGCAAGGCUAGAGUGCGUCAGAGGGGGGUAGAAUUCCACGUGUAGCAGUGAAAUGCGUAGAGAUGUGGAGGAAUACCGAUGGCGAAGGCAGCCCCCUGGGACGUGACUGACGCUCAUGCACGAAAGCGUGGGGAGCAAACAGGAUUAGAUACCCUGGUAGUCCACGCCCUAAACGAUGUCAACUAGUUGUUGGGGAUUCAUUUUCUCAGUAACGUAGCUAACGCGUGAAGUUGACCGCCUGGGGGAGGUACGGUCGCGAGAAGUAAACUACUUAAUUAGUAAGUUAGAGGCGNGAGACGNGCCGAGGACGACGACGAGGGAGGAGG
This 629-nucleotide ribosomal RNA is filed under the name uncultured bacterium. RNAcentral describes it as "bacterial SSU rRNA". The stretch from base 1 to 542 matches the Rfam family "Bacterial small subunit ribosomal RNA", at positions 338 to 873 of the family's 1533-position model. The record is from RNAcentral.